AGCUUAUUUUUAACCACUUCCCUUUUUUCUGUGCUUCUAAUAUGUAAAGCUGCUUUGAAACAAUUACCAAUUGUAAAAGCGCUAUAUAAAUAAAUUUGACUUGACUUGACUUGACUAGGAUGCUCAUACAGAAUCAUAUGUGAUAGUUAAUAUAGAAAAAAAUAACUAAAGAUGCCAUUCAAAAUGAAUUUGUGCUAAAUGUUUUGUCAUUACAACAGUGUUACUGUACAAAACACUAAAAUGAUAAAAUGUUGUAUUGUAGAGUCAGUGUUACUGGAUUGCUGCUGAAGGAGGGACUCGAGUUACUGCAUGAAUCACUGAAGGAUCCACACUGCACUAUGACCAUUGAAGGGAGGAAGUGCAGUAAACCCAUUGACCAAUGCAUAGAAGAGGACUGGAGUCAGAGCUGCAAUGAGAAAGUGAAGAUUCACUUCAAACCAAAGGCUGAACAUCUCUGCACCUGAAACUUCUGAAAUGAAUCUUCACUGUCAGUCUUGUGUUCACAUUGUUGAAUGUUGAAUGCGAUGGGUCUGUGCUGGUGACGUCACUCUCCAGUACCGUACAGUGGAUGGACGUUUCCUCAGUGCAGAGCUGGAGAGGCUUCAGUGUGAGUGAAUUGGUCCAGUGAUUGAUGUGACCGUGAUCUCAAGGAAACUGGAGGAGGCUCAUCUGCCUCAUUACGCCUGUUUAGCAGAGUCUGACCCCUCUCUCAAAGAUGCUGUGAAGGUCCUCAUCAAAAGAGAUGAAGGAAUAUCUUUACAGUCUGUAGAGUUGACCUGUCUGUGACACUGUCACACAAAAUGCAUGUUUUACUGCUCUAUUUAUUACAAUGAUUUUAUGUAUAAUAGAGUUUUAAUUGGUUUACAUGUGUUUUAGUCCAUUUUAUUCCUCUUAACAUUUUAAGUGUGUAUGUCUUUAAGAAAUGAAUGGUUGGCCUGUCAUGUGACCAGUCACAUGACAGGAAGCAGGAAAAACAUCUGUAUAAAGAGAGCAGCAUGGCAAACAAACAAGGACUCACGAACAGUCAACAACUCACCUGGAUUGUGGAGUUACCAAUUUUGUGGACUUACCUCUCCAGUCACAACCUUACAACUCUUGGAUUAUCACUACUGUGGACAUUUGUAUAUACACCGGUGGACACUCACAUUGGGACUUUAACAGCACACUAGGAUUCUUGGACUGUUUUAGGGUAUGGUACUUUAAACUGUAUGCUUUUAACAGACUGAGUUUUCCUGGUUUUAUUGUGGUGUUUUAAAGUUCCUGUGAAUAUUGUAAAUACACAAUUCUUAUUUAACUUUA
Long non-coding RNA from Megalobrama amblycephala (Wuchang bream), 1299 nucleotides. RefSeq lists it as uncharacterized. The transcript is spliced from 3 exons. The record is from RefSeq and is a predicted model, not a curated record. Lineage: Eukaryota; Metazoa; Chordata; Actinopteri; Cypriniformes; Xenocyprididae.